This 503-nucleotide ribosomal RNA is filed under the name uncultured bacterium. RNAcentral's name for it is "partial 16S ribosomal RNA". It matches the Rfam family "Bacterial small subunit ribosomal RNA", at positions 30 to 523 of the family's 1533-position model. The record is from RNAcentral.
AUUGAACGCUGGCGGCAUGCCUUACACAUGCAAGUCGAACGGCAGCAUGGAGAGCUGCUCUCUGAUGGCGAGUGGCGAACGGGUGAGUAAUGCAUCGGAACGUACCGUGUAAUGGGGGAUAACGUAGCGAAAGUUACGCUAAUACCGCAUACGACCUGAGGGUGAAAGCAGGGGAGCGCAAGACCUUGCGUUAUACGAGCGGCCGAUGGCAGAUUAGCUAGUUGGUGAGGUAAAGGCUCACCAAGGCGACGAUCUGUAGCGGGUCUGAGAGGAUGAUCCGCCACACUGGGACUGAGACACGGCCCAGACUCCUACGGGAGGCAGCAGUGGGGAAUUUUGGACAAUGGGGGCAACCCUGAUCCAGCCAUGCCGCGUGAGUGAAGAAGGCCUUCGGGUUGUAAAGCUCUUUCGGCCGGGAAGAAAUCGCACAGGCUAAUACUCUGUGUGGAUGACGGUACCGGCAUAAGAAGCACCGGCUAACUACGUGCCAGCAGCCGCCGUAA